Molecule: ribosomal RNA, 253 nt
Filed under: uncultured bacterium
Lineage: Bacteria
Description: partial 16S ribosomal RNA
Rfam family: Bacterial small subunit ribosomal RNA
Source: RNAcentral
UACGGGGGGGGCAAGCGUUGUUCGGAAUUACUGGGCGUAAAGGGCGCGUAGGCGGUUGGAUAAGUCAGCUGUGAAAACCACGGGCUUAACUCGUGGCCUGCAGUUGAGACUGUCUGGCUUGAGUGUGGGAGAGGAGAGUGGAAUUCCUGGUGUAGCGGUGAAAUGCGUAGAUAUCAGGAGGAACACCGGUGGUGUAGACGGCUUUCUGGACCGUAACUGACGCUGAGACACGAAAGCGUGGGUAGCAAACAGG